RNAcentral lists this ribosomal RNA (421 nucleotides) under uncultured bacterium. RNAcentral's name for it is "bacterial SSU rRNA". It matches the Rfam family "Bacterial small subunit ribosomal RNA", at positions 356 to 774 of the family's 1533-position model. The record is from RNAcentral.
GAGGAAUAUUGGGCAAUGCCCGCAAGGGUGACCCAGCAACGCCGCGUGGAGGAUGAAUGUCGUAAGAUUGUAAACUCCUGUUAGAGGGGAAGAAUAGUACCGGUUGGACCGGUAUAUGACUGUACCCUCAGAGAAAGCCCCGGCUAACUUCGUGCCAGCAGCCGCGGUAAUACGAAGGGGGCUAGCGUUGUUCGGAAUUACUGGGCGUAAAGCGCACGUAGGCGGCUUUCCAAGUUGGAGGUGAAAUCCCCGGGCUUAACCCGGGAACUGCCUCCAAAACUGAAAGGCUAGAGUCCGAGAGAGGUGAGGGGAAUUUCCAGUGUAGAGGUGAAAUUCGUAGAUAUUGGAAAGAACACCAGUGGCGAAGGCGGCUCACUGGCUCGGUACUGACGCUGAGGUGCGACAGCGUGGGGAGCAAACA